RNAcentral lists this ribosomal RNA (1540 nucleotides) under Staphylococcus aureus. Its description in RNAcentral is "16S ribosomal RNA". It matches the Rfam family "Bacterial small subunit ribosomal RNA". The record is from RNAcentral. Lineage: Bacteria; Bacillati; Bacillota; Bacilli; Caryophanales; Staphylococcaceae.
AGAGUUUGAUCCUGGCUCAGGAUGAACGCUGACGGCGUGCCUAAUACAUGCAAGUCGAGCGAACGGACGAGAAGCUUGCUUCUCUGAUGUUAGCGGCGGACGGGUGAGUAACACGUGGAUAACCUACCUAUAAGACUGGGAUAACUUCGGGAAACCGGAGCUAAUACCGGAUAAUAUUUUGAACCGCAUGGUUCAAAAGUGAAAGACGGUCUUGCUGUCACUUAUAGAUGGAUCCGCGCUGCAUUAGCUAGUUGGUAAGGUAACGGCUUACCAAGGCAACGAUGCAUAGCCGACCUGAGAGGGUGAUCGGCCACACUGGAACUGAGACACGGUCCAGACUCCUACGGGAGGCAGCAGUAGGGAAUCUUCCGCAAUGGGCGAAAGCCUGACGGAGCAACGCCGCGUGAGUGAUGAAGGUCUUCGGAUCGUAAAACUCUGUUAUUAGGGAAGAACAUAUGUGUAAGUAACUGUGCACAUCUUGACGGUACCUAAUCAGAAAGCCACGGCUAACUACGUGCCAGCAGCCGCGGUAAUACGUAGGUGGCAAGCGUUAUCCGGAAUUAUUGGGCGUAAAGCGCGCGUAGGCGGUUUUUUAAGUCUGAUGUGAAAGCCCACGGCUCAACCGUGGAGGGUCAUUGGAAACUGGAAAACUUGAGUGCAGAAGAGGAAAGUGGAAUUCCAUGUGUAGCGGUGAAAUGCGCAGAGAUAUGGAGGAACACCAGUGGCGAAGGCGACUUUCUGGUCUGUAACUGACGCUGAUGUGCGAAAGCGUGGGGAUCAAACAGGAUUAGAUACCCUGGUAGUCCACGCCGUAAACGAUGAGUGCUAAGUGUUAGGGGGUUUCCGCCCCUUAGUGCUGCAGCUAACGCAUUAAGCACUCCGCCUGGGGAGUACGACCGCAAGGUUGAAACUCAAAGGAAUUGACGGGGACCCGCACAAGCGGUGGAGCAUGUGGUUUAAUUCGAAGCAACGCGAAGAACCUUACCAAAUCUUGACAUCCUUUGACAACUCUAGAGAUAGAGCCUUCCNCUUCGGGGGACAAAGUGACAGGUGGUGCAUGGUUGUCGUCAGCUCGUGUCGUGAGAUGUUGGGUUAAGUCCCGCAACGAGCGCAACCCUUAAGCUUAGUUGCCAUCAUUAAGUUGGGCACUCUAAGUUGACUGCCGGUGACAAACCGGAGGAAGGUGGGGAUGACGUCAAAUCAUCAUGCCCCUUAUGAUUUGGGCUACACACGUGCUACAAUGGACAAUACAAAGGGCAGCGAAACCGCGAGGUCAAGCAAAUCCCAUAAAGUUGUUCUCAGUUCGGAUUGUAGUCUGCAACUCGACUACAUGAAGCUGGAAUCGCUAGUAAUCGUAGAUCAGCAUGCUACGGUGAAUACGUUCCCGGGUCUUGUACACACCGCCCGUCACACCACGAGAGUUUGUAACACCCGAAGCCGGUGGAGUAACCUUUUAGGAGCUAGCCGUCGAAGGUGGGACAAAUGAUUGGGGUGAAGUCGUAACAAGGUAGCCGUAUCGGAAGGUGCGGCUGGAUCACCU